RNAcentral lists this ribosomal RNA (689 nucleotides) under uncultured bacterium. RNAcentral's name for it is "bacterial SSU rRNA". It matches the Rfam family "Bacterial small subunit ribosomal RNA", at positions 54 to 757 of the family's 1533-position model. The record is from RNAcentral.
CAUGCAAGUCGAACGGAAGCAAAGAUUUCGGUUUUUGCUUUAGUGGCGAACGGGUGAGUAACGCGUGAGGAACCUGCCUUUCAGUGGGGGACAACAGUUGGAAACGACUGCUAAUACCGCAUAAUGCUUUUGAGUGGCAUCACUUAAAAGUCAAAGAUUUAUUGCUGAAAGAUGGCCUCGCGUCUGGUUAGCUGGUUGGCGGGGUAACGGCCCACCAAGGCGACGAUCAGUAGCCGGUCUGAGAGGAUGAACGGCCACAUUGGGACUGAGAUACGGCCCAGACUCCUACGGGAGGCAGCAGUGGGGAAUAUUGGGCAAUGGGGGAAACCCUGACCCAGCAACGCCGCGUGAAGGAAGAAGGCCUUCGGGUUGUAAACUUCUUUUACCAGGGACGAAAGAAAUGACGGUACCUGGAGAAAAAGCAACGGCUAACUACGUGCCAGCAGCCGCGGUAAUACGUAGGUUGCGAGCGUUGUCCGGAUUUACUGGGUGUAAAGGGCGUGUAGGCGGAGAUGCAAGUUGGGAGUGAAAUCCAUGGGCUCAACCCAUGAACUGCUUCCAAAACUGUAUCCCUUGAGUAUCGGAGAGGCAAGCGGAAUUCCUAGUGUAGCGGUGAAAUGCGUAGAUAUUAGGAGGAACACCAGUGGCGAAGGCGGCUUGCUGGACGACAACUGACGCUGAGGCGCGAA